RNAcentral lists this ribosomal RNA (776 nucleotides) under uncultured Neocallimastigales. Its description in RNAcentral is "partial large subunit ribosomal RNA". It matches the Rfam family "Eukaryotic large subunit ribosomal RNA", at positions 24 to 644 of the family's 3401-position model. The record is from RNAcentral. Lineage: Eukaryota; Fungi; Neocallimastigomycota; Neocallimastigomycetes; Neocallimastigales.
UAUGUGAUCGUCUCUCGCAUAUCAAUAAGCGGAGGAAAAGAAACUAACAAGGAUUCCCCUAGUAACGGCGAGUGAAGCGGGAAGAGCUCAAAUUUGAAAUCUUAAAGGGUUUCCCUUUACGAAUUGUAGUUUAAAGAAGUGUUUUCUGUUGAGGUUUUGGUAAAAGUUCUUUGGAAUAGGACAUCAUAGAGGGUGAGAAUCCCGUAUUUGACCUUUACUUUCAACUUUGUGAUACACUUUCAAAGAGUCGGAUUGUUUGGGAAUGCAGUCCGAAAUGGGUGGUAAAUUUCAGUCUAAAGCUAAAUAUUGGCGAGAGACCGAUAGCGAACAAGUACCGUGAGGGAAAGAUGAAAAGAACUUUGAAAAGAGAGUUAAACAGUACGUGAAAUUGUCAAAAGGGAAGCGUUUGACACCAGUGUUGUUUUUCUGAAAAUCAAUUAAAGAACUGUUUAUGCUAAGUUGUUUAGACUUUAUCAGCUAACUGUUUAGUUUUGAGCUCUUCUUUAAUGCACUUUUCAGUUAACAAGUCAACAUCAAUUUCUUUUGCUGUAAAAAAGCUUGAGGAAGGUGGCUUGAGAUUCGUCUUAAGUGUUUAUAGCCUCUUGCCUAUGCAGUCGGAGAGAUUGAGGUCUGCAGCGUAGAUCCUUCGGGGCUAAAUGCAUUUGUGCUAAGUUAUAGCAUUUUCAUAGACAACUUGUUGACUAUGAUUUGUCUUGUAGCUUACUCGCUUAUGUUAUUUUACCUACGCUUAGGAUGUUGACUGAUAUGUAGUCGUA